ACCUCAUGAUUUGGGCAUUGGCCUAUCUUUCCAUUAAACCUCUCCCAUGCUUCAAACAACGGUUCUCCAUUCAAUUGUCAAAAGUUUUCAAUCUUAUCCCGCUUUUGAAGCA
Molecule: non-coding RNA, 112 nt
Organism: Capsicum annuum
Lineage: Eukaryota; Viridiplantae; Streptophyta; Magnoliopsida; Solanales; Solanaceae
Source: Rfam